CUAAAUACUCCUGACUGACCGAUAGUGAACCAGUACCGUGAGGGAAAGGCGAAAAGAACCCCGGCGAGGGGAGUGAAAAAGAACCUGAAACCGUGUACGUACAAGCAGUGGGAGCACGCUUAGGCGUGUGACUGCGUACCUUUUGUAUAAUGGGUCAGCGACUUAUAUUCUGUAGCAAGGUUAACCGAAUAGGGGAGCCGAAGGGAAACCGAGUCUUAACUGGGCGUUAAGUUGCAGGGUAUAGACCCGAAACCCGGUGAUCUAGCCAUGGGCAGGUUGAAGGUUGGGUAACACUAACUGGAGGACCGAACCGACUAAUGUUGAAAAAUUAGCGGAUGACUUGUGGCUGGGGGUGAAAGGCCAAUCAAACCGGGAGAUAGCUGGUUCUCCCCGAAAGCUAUUUAGGUAGCGCCUCGUGAAUUCAUCUCCGGGGGUAGAGCACUGUUUCGGCAAGGGGGUCAUCCCGACUUACCAACCCGAUGCAAACUGCGAAUACCGGAGAAUGUUAUCACGGGAGACACACGGCGGGUGCUAACGUCCGUCGUGAAGAGGGAAACAACCCAGACCGCCAGCUAAGGUCCCAAAGUCAUGGUUAAGUGGGAAACGAUGUGGGAAGGCCCAGACAGCCAGGAUGUUGGCUUAGAAGCAGCCAUCAUUUAAAGAAAGCGUAAUAGCUCACUGGUCGAGUCGGCCUGCGCGGAAGAUGUAACGGGGCUAAACCAUGCACCGAAGCUGCGGCAGCGACGCUGAUGCGUUGUUGGGUAGGGGAGCGUUCUGUAAGCCUGUGAAGGUGUGCUGUGAGGCAUGCUGGAGGUAUCAGAAGUGCGAAUGCUGACAUAAGUAACGAUAAAGCGGGUGAAAAGCCCGCUCGCCGGAAGACCAAGGGUUCCUGUCCAACGUUAAUCGGGGCAGGGUGAGUCGACCCCUAAGGCGAGGCCGAAAGGCGUAGUCGAUGGGAAACAGGUUAAUAUUCCUGUACUUGGUGUUACU
Molecule: ribosomal RNA, 990 nt
Filed under: Escherichia coli
Lineage: Bacteria; Pseudomonadati; Pseudomonadota; Gammaproteobacteria; Enterobacterales; Enterobacteriaceae
Description: partial 23S ribosomal RNA
Rfam family: Bacterial large subunit ribosomal RNA
Source: RNAcentral